CCCCCCCUGUGACCAGUCCCAUCUCUGAAGGUUCUGGGUACAACGUGGGUAAGCCCUACACACAAAACCCCAAAGUAGCCUUAGGUAUUUUCCCCCAGCCCAGCAUGGCCACCUGAGGAUGGCUUUAACCUAUAAGCCUCUUGGGUAUCUAGGGUACAGUGUAAAAGUGAGGUCCCAGUGUCCUCCAGCCCCUCCAGUGAGGCUGAGGGUUGUGAGGAGGAAACCACAGGCCCAGUAUAGGAGGCUUGUCAUCUGAGAGAGAAGGGGAGAGAUGGUACUGGAGGCUGGGAGUCAACCAAUCAGGCUCUGGAGACCUGUGCUUGUGCUGGCUAGUACCACCAGCAGGUGUGAGCAAGGACGGCAGAGCCAGGUCACCUCAAAGGACCCCUAUUCCCACGAAAGGACCGCAGAGUGGAGAUGUUGGCAGAGCCGACCUCCCAGUGUGCAAAGAGUGCUUGCUGGUAUUGCCAAGUAAGUGAGGACAGGUAUGGGAGGUGUAGCCUGGUCCCCAGUUCUGGGGUGGGCCAUGGCCAACCUCUGGGGAAUGGACAGGCACUUUGCUAAAGGUGGGGUGCCUGCCCAGCCAAGGUAAUGAGGCAGGCCCUGAACUACCAAUGUUCCAAGCCCCUGCUCUGCUUCAGCCAAACCAGAACCCUGGAGCUCCUUGGAUGCUCGUCCCUCUCUUUUCUUUUUGGGCGACUCAGAACAGUGUGGGGGGAAGGACCCCCCUCCCCCACUUUGGGCAGCAGCUGCAGCUGGGAACUGGCAGGCAGAGGAGGCCCUGCUCCCCGGAAGGCCUGGCUAUGCCCAGCCUCAUGGCCCACCUGCUUCACUCCGACUCUACCACUACACGAGGGUUUUUCAGAAAAUGGCGACACGAACACCCCACCACCACGACAACAACACAAACCAAAGUGCACUCCGAACCGCCCUUUGGCCUCCUUCAAUGUAGGUGCCUUGAAACUUCAAUGUUGAGAUGAAUGUGACUAAUUACUUGGUCCUAUUUUCUGUUUGUCUGUUUCAUAUAAAAUGUCCAAGUCCACCUGCCUUGUCCUUUCUUGAAAUAAAUAGAAAGAUUU
RNAcentral lists this long non-coding RNA (1079 nucleotides) under Rattus norvegicus (Norway rat). RNAcentral's name for it is "long non-coding RNA NONRATT003526". The record is from RNAcentral. Lineage: Eukaryota; Metazoa; Chordata; Mammalia; Rodentia; Muridae.